GUUCAUUCUGUUGCUCAAGUAUAUAGAUUUCUCACAGUUGACAAUGCUUAAGGUCAUACUAUUAGACCCAAGUAGCAAGUCACCGCCCAAGACCAAGGGCAAGCGUUACUCAGAUCCCUCAGGGUCUCAUACCAGGCGGAGAUGCUGAUACCUUGUGGGUGUCAGGCAGUGGGUACCAGCCUAGGAAAGGAAUAGCCUGAUCAUUAGUUUGGGGGCUCCAGCAGCCGUACCAGCAUCCUUAUCUUGUGGAUGCCCUGGGUUUUUCUGGUACUGGGCUCUUCCCUUUGGUGGCAUCUUCAGCAUCAUGGCUCAGGGCACCUAGCACUGACUACUUUUAUUCUUGCCACCCCCAUCAUAUCAGAACCGGUCCUAACCCACGGCUUGCCUGUGACGCCAGCUCUGGCUUCUGCCAGGAACCUAAUGGUCAAGCUAAUAACAGAGUGUAGGGAGUCAGUGUCCCAGGGACAGCGUAGGGAAAGGAGCCCAUGGAAGAACCCUUUGCCUGAAUCUCAGAAGGAUGAUUCCAAGAGACAUUCUGUGCUCUUCUCAGAGAACCCUAUGCAGGACCAAGGCCUCAUUCUCCUUUCUGAGUGGACAUCUUAGUAACACAACCUUUAUGCUGAUUUUCCCUCAGUUCCUUAUCCACUCCCUGGUUCUUCACUCCAGAUCCCUUUUUUCCCUGAAAAGCUUGCCGCCCAAGAACACUUUUCUCCGAUCUCUGCUUUUUGGGGUUAUAGAGGGGAUGCAGAACCCAGGUCAAGCACCUGCUAAAUCCAGUCUCAUGAAGACAAUUAUGGCCCAUAAUCACUGCAGACUUCCAAGAUGCCAGGCGCUGUGCAGAGAACUUUGUGUGAACAUCAUCUUCAAUUCUCUCCAGUGUUUUACAUGGGAAGAUGCAACACUGAUCGAGUUAAGGUCAACUCAGAGUCAGUGGGAGGAGGCGGGUGAGAGUGUUCCACAAACCGUGGGUCACUCAUCACCAUUUGCAGAUAAGCCCUGGAAAGCACCGGGAAGUACCACUUCUGUUGGAGAACAGCACACCACAAUGCCAUUGGGCCUGAUGACGUGGGCAACCUGGCCGGCAGGGACGCCUGUGAGUUCCCAGGAUGUGCUGGUUCCAUCGUCCACGAUGAAUGUGGUUGUGAUGGACGCUGGGCAGCUCUGUCCACAGUUAUUCAGAGAAGACUCAUCAUGGGUCUCAAGACUCCGUCUACGGAGCGAGUGAGGCGGAGGCUGACGGUACAGUCAGCGCUUCGGGCGGCCGCGCCGCUUCCCCACCAGACGUGUUUCAUCGUCUCCUCGGCUCCCUCCGUCUUUCAGGAUCUCAUCAGGAAAAUAAACGCUGGUUUCAAUAAACAUGUUGUUCAGGAGGAAACCAACAGCCUGAGAGCAAGGCAUCUCUGGG
This 1405-nucleotide long non-coding RNA is filed under the name Capra hircus (goat). RNAcentral's name for it is "lncRNA (ENSCHIG00000008207.1)". Lineage: Eukaryota; Metazoa; Chordata; Mammalia; Artiodactyla; Bovidae. The record is from RNAcentral.